AUUGAACGCUGGCGGCAGGCUUAACACGUGCAAGUCGAGCGAGGGAAGGUAGCUUGCUACCGGACCUAGCGGCGGACGGGUGAGUAAUGCUUAGGAAUCUGCCUAUUAGUGGGGGACAACAUCUCGAAAGGGAUGCUAAUACCGCAUACGUCCUACGGGAGAAAGCAGGGGAUCUUCGGACCUUGCGCUAAUAGAUGAGCCUAAGUCGGAUUAGCUAGUUGGUGGGGUAAAGGCCUACCAAGGCGACGAUCUGUAGCGGGUCUGAGAGGAUGAUCCGCCACACUGGGACUGAGACACGGCCCAGACUCCUACGGGAGGCAGCAGUGGGGAAUAUUGGACAAUGGGGGGAACCCUGAUCCAGCCAUGCCGCGUGUGUGAAGAAGGCCUUAUGGUUGUAAAGCACUUUAAGCGAGGAGGAGGCUACUUUAGUUAAUACCUAGAGAUAGUGGACGUUACUCGCAGAAUAAGCACCGGCUAACUCUGUGCCAGCAGCCGCGGUAA
This 501-nucleotide ribosomal RNA is filed under the name uncultured bacterium. RNAcentral's name for it is "partial 16S ribosomal RNA". It matches the Rfam family "Bacterial small subunit ribosomal RNA", at positions 30 to 523 of the family's 1533-position model. The record is from RNAcentral.